CCUACGGAAGGCAGCAGUGGGGAAUAUUGGGCAAUGGGCGCAAGCCUGACCCAGCAACGCCGCGUGAAGGAAGAAGGCUUUCGGGUUGUAAACUUCUUUUCUCAGGGACGAAGCAAGUGACGGUACCUGAGGAAUAAGCCACGGCUAACUACGUGCCAGCAGCCGCGGUAAUACGUAGGUGGCAAGCGUUAUCCGGAUUUACUGGGUGUAAAGGGCGUGUAGGCGGGACUGCAAGUCAGAUGUGAAAACCACGGGCUCAACCUGUGGCCUGCAUUUGAAACUGUAGUUCUUGAGGACUGGAGAGGCAGACGGAAUUCCUGGUGUAGCGGUGAAAUGCGUAGAUAUCAGGAGGAACACCGGUGGCGAAGGCGGCCUGCUGGACUGCAACUGACGUUGAGGCCCGAAAGCGUGGGGAGCAAACAGGAUUAGAUACCCCUGUAGUC
This 443-nucleotide ribosomal RNA is filed under the name uncultured bacterium. Its description in RNAcentral is "partial 16S ribosomal RNA". It matches the Rfam family "Bacterial small subunit ribosomal RNA", at positions 338 to 795 of the family's 1533-position model. The record is from RNAcentral.